UAUCGCUUUCUUAGCUGGAAGACCUCGAUAGGAGGCAUUUGUUUUCUUUUGUUUAUUUACUUCUGAGCCCCUUGUUGGCACGUUUACUUUAUACAUGUUUGUUUUGUAUGUGUUCGUAUCCCCACAGGUAGCGCGGUUCCUUUGUCAAGGACUGCCUUUUUGCAUGAGCAUCCCAAACCCUAACCCUUCAUUGAUUCUUCUUCUCCUAAACACACGUUUACUCCUUCUACUACAGGUGAGUAAGUCUCCAAAGGUCGAGCAUCCGGUAGAUUGCGUAGUAACGUCGUUAGUCCAAAACCCACCCCAUAACCCCGUAGUUAGCCGAACUACGGCUUGCUCCGAUUCUCAUUCCAGAUGAGAUACGUAGGCAUAAGACGCGAUGUCUUAGCGAG
RNAcentral lists this long non-coding RNA (392 nucleotides) under Lathyrus oleraceus (garden pea). RNAcentral's name for it is "Pisum sativum (pea) long non-coding RNA (PSAT_LNC033707)". Lineage: Eukaryota; Viridiplantae; Streptophyta; Magnoliopsida; Fabales; Fabaceae. The record is from RNAcentral.